RNAcentral lists this ribosomal RNA (243 nucleotides) under uncultured Staphylococcus sp. RNAcentral's name for it is "partial 16S ribosomal RNA". It matches the Rfam family "Bacterial small subunit ribosomal RNA", at positions 96 to 334 of the family's 1533-position model. The record is from RNAcentral. Lineage: Bacteria; Bacillati; Bacillota; Bacilli; Caryophanales; Staphylococcaceae.
CGGCGGACGGGUGAGUAACACGUGGAUAACCUACCUAUAAGACUGGGAUAACUUCGGAAACCGGAGCUAAUACCGAAUAAUAUAUUGAACCGCAUGGUUCAAUAGUGAAAGACGGUUUUGCUGUCACUUAUAGAUGGAUCCGCGCCGCAUUAGCUAGUUGGUAGGGUAACGGCUUACCAAGGCGACGAUGCGUAGCCGACCUGAGAGGGUGAUCGGCCACACUGGAACUGAGACACGGUCCAG